AGAGUUUGAUCCUGGCUCAGAUUGAACGCUGGCGGCAGGCCUAACACAUGCAAGUCGAACGGUAACAGGAAGCAGCUUGCUGCUUUGCUGACGAGUGGCGGACGGGUGAGUAAUGUCUGGGAAACUGCCUGAUGGAGGGGGAUAACUACUGGAAACGGUAGCUAAUACCGCAUAACGUCGCAAGACCAAAGAGGGGGACCUUAGGGCCUCUUGCCAUCGGAUGUGCCCAGAUGGGAUUAGCUAGUAGGUGGGGUAACGGCUCACCUAGGCGAUGAUCCCUAGCUGGUCUGAGAGGAUGACCAGCCACACUGGAACUGAGACACGGUCCAGACUCCUACGGGAGGCAGCAGUGGGGAAUAUUGCACAAUGGGCGCAAGCCUGAU
RNAcentral lists this ribosomal RNA (383 nucleotides) under uncultured Escherichia sp. Its description in RNAcentral is "bacterial SSU rRNA". It matches the Rfam family "Bacterial small subunit ribosomal RNA", at positions 8 to 387 of the family's 1533-position model. Lineage: Bacteria; Pseudomonadati; Pseudomonadota; Gammaproteobacteria; Enterobacterales; Enterobacteriaceae. The record is from RNAcentral.